UUAUCAUUAGGUCUUUCAACCUUUCAGGUGAAAGACCUAUAGGGUUUGUUCUGAUUAUUAUUAUUAUUAGGUCUUUCAACCUUUCAGGUGAAAGACCUAUAGGGUUUGUUCUGAUUAUUAUUAUUAUUAUUAUUAGGUCUUUCAACCUUUCAGGUGAAAGACCUAUAGGGUUUGUUCUGAUUAUUAUUUAUUAUUAGGUCUUUC
Molecule: long non-coding RNA, 204 nt
Filed under: Mytilus galloprovincialis (Mediterranean mussel)
Lineage: Eukaryota; Metazoa; Mollusca; Bivalvia; Mytilida; Mytilidae
Source: RNAcentral